UCUGGAAUAGCUCAUUCGGUAGAGCGUCAGAUUCAACUCUGAAAGUAGUGGGUUCAAACCCCACUUCCAAAA
RNAcentral lists this transfer RNA (72 nucleotides) under Deltaproteobacteria bacterium. RNAcentral's name for it is "tRNA-OTHER". It matches the Rfam family "tRNA". Rfam says of the family: Transfer RNA (tRNA) molecules are approximately 80 nucleotides in length. Their secondary structure includes four short double-helical elements and three loops (D, anti-codon, and T loops). Further hydrogen bonds mediate the characteristic L-shaped molecular structure. tRNAs have two regions of fundamental functional importance: the anti-codon, which is responsible for specific mRNA codon recognition, and the 3' end, to which the tRNAs corresponding amino acid is attached (by aminoacyl-tRNA synthetases). tRNAs cope with the degeneracy of the genetic code in two manners: having more than one tRNA (with a specific anti-codon) for a particular amino acid; and 'wobble' base-pairing, i.e. permitting non-standard base-pairing at the 3rd anti-codon position. The record is from RNAcentral. Lineage: Bacteria; Pseudomonadati; Myxococcota; Myxococcia.